Molecule: ribosomal RNA, 425 nt
Filed under: uncultured bacterium
Lineage: Bacteria
Description: bacterial SSU rRNA
Rfam family: Bacterial small subunit ribosomal RNA
Source: RNAcentral
GGGGAAUUUUGGACAAUGGGGGAAACCCUGAUCCAGCCAUGCCGUGUGAGUGAAGAAGGCCUUCGGGUUGUAAAGCUCUUUCGGCCGGGACGAAAUCGCACGCGUGAAUAUCGCGUGUGGAUGACGGUACCGGCAGAAGAAGGACCGGCUAACUACGUGCCAGCAGCCGCGGUAAUACGUAGGGUCCGAGCGUUAAUCGGAAUUACUGGGCGUAAAGCGUGCGCAGGCGGUUUUGUAAGCCAGAUGUGAAAUCCCCGGGCUCAACCUGGGAACUGCAUUUGGGACUGCAAGGCUUGAGUACGGCAGAGGGGGGUAGAAUUCCUGGUGUAGCAGUGAAAUGCGUAGAUAUCAGGAGGAAUACCGAUGGCGAAGGCAGCCCCCUGGGUCGAUACUGACGCUCAUGCACGAAAGCGUGGGGAGCAAAC